UAAGGAAUAUUGGUCAAUGGACGAAAGUCUGAACCAGCCAUCCCGCGUGCAGGAUGAAUGCCCUAUGGGUUGUAAACUGCUUUUGGCAGAGACGAAACGCCUUCAUUUAUGGGGGUCUGACGGUAUCUGCAGAAUAAGCACCGGCUAACUCCGUGCCAGCAGCCGCGGUAAUACGGAGGGUGCAAGCGUUAUCCGGAAUCACUGGGUUUAAAGGGUGCGUAGGCGGGGAAUUAAGUCAGUGGUGAAAGCCUGUCGCUUAACGAUAGAAUUGCCAUUGAUACUGAUUUUCUUGAAUUGGGUUGAGGUUAGCGGAAUGUGACAUGUAGCGGUGAAAUGCAUAGAUAUGUCAUGGAACACCAAUUGCGAAGGCAGCUAGCUGGGCCUUGAUUGACGCUGAGGCACGAAAGCGUGGGUAGCGAACAGG
Molecule: ribosomal RNA, 424 nt
Filed under: uncultured Bacteroidota bacterium
Lineage: Bacteria; Pseudomonadati; Bacteroidota
Description: bacterial SSU rRNA
Rfam family: Bacterial small subunit ribosomal RNA
Source: RNAcentral